UACAGGGGGGGCAAGCGUUGUUCGGAAUUACUGGGCGUAAAGGGCCAGUAGGCGGCCAACUAAGUCACACGUGAAAUCCCCAGGCUUAACCUGGGAACUGCGUGUGAUACCGGAUGGCUUGAAUUCGGGAGAGGGAUGCAGAAUUCCAGGUGUAGCGGUGAAAUGCGUAGAUAUCUGGAGGAAUACCGGUGGCGAAGGCGGCAUCCUGGACCGACAUUGACGCUGAACGGCGAAAGCUAGGGGAGCAAACGGG
This 253-nucleotide ribosomal RNA is filed under the name uncultured bacterium. RNAcentral's name for it is "partial 16S ribosomal RNA". It matches the Rfam family "Bacterial small subunit ribosomal RNA", at positions 524 to 776 of the family's 1533-position model. The record is from RNAcentral.